GUGCGGAACACGUGUGCAACCUGCCUUUAUCAGGGGGAUAGCCUUUCGAAAGGAAGAUUAAUACCCCAUAAUAUUUAGAAUGGCAUCAUUUUAAAUUGAAAACUGCGGUGGAUAAAGAUGGGCACGCGCAAGAUUAGAUAGUUGGUAGGGUAACGGCCUACCAAGUCUACGAUCUUUAGGGGGCCUGAGAGGGUGAUCCCCCACACUGGUACUGAGACACGGACCAGACUCCUACGGGAGGCAGCAGUGAGGAAUAUUGGACAAUGGGUGAGAGCCUGAUCCAGCCAUCCCGCGUGAAGGAUGACGGCCCUAUGGGUUGUAAACUUCUUUUGUAUAGGGAUAAACCUUUCUACGUGUAGAAAGCUGAAGGUACUAUACGAAUAAGCACCGGCUAACUCCGUGCCAGCAGCCGCGGUAAUACGGAGGGUGCAAGCGUUAUCCGGAUUUAUUGGGUUUAAAGGGUCCGUAGGCUGAUGUGUAAGUCAGUGGUGAAAUCUCACAGCUUAACUGUGAAACUGCCAUUGAUACUGCAUGUCUUGAGUGUUGUUGAAGUAGCUGGAAUAAGUAGUGUAGCGGUGAAAUGCAUAGAUAUUACUUAGAACACCAAUUGCGAA
Molecule: ribosomal RNA, 614 nt
Filed under: Chryseobacterium sp.
Lineage: Bacteria; Pseudomonadati; Bacteroidota; Flavobacteriia; Flavobacteriales; Weeksellaceae
Description: bacterial SSU rRNA
Rfam family: Bacterial small subunit ribosomal RNA
Source: RNAcentral